RNAcentral lists this ribosomal RNA (467 nucleotides) under uncultured bacterium. RNAcentral describes it as "partial 16S ribosomal RNA". It matches the Rfam family "Bacterial small subunit ribosomal RNA", at positions 28 to 506 of the family's 1533-position model. The record is from RNAcentral.
GACGAACGCUGGCGGCGUGCUUAACACAUGCAAGUCGAACGGAAAGGCCCUGCUUUUGUGGGGUGCUCGAGUGGCGAACGGGUGAGUAACACGUGAGUAACCUGCCCUUGACUUUGGGAUAACUUCAGGAAACUGGGGCUAAUACCGGAUAGGAGCUCCCGCUGCAUGGUGGGGGUUGGAAAGUUUCGGCGGUUGGGGAUGGACUCGCGGCUUAUCAGCUUGUUGGUGGGGUAGUGGCUUACCAAGGCUUUGACGGGUAGCCGGCCUGAGAGGGUGACCGGCCACAUUGGGACUGAGAUAUGGCCCAGACUCCUACGGGAGGCAGCAGUGGGGAAUAUUGCACAAUGGGCGGAAGCCUGAGGCAGCAACGCCGCGUGCGGGAUGACGGCCUUCGGGUUGUAAACCGCUUUCGCCUGUGACGAAGCGUGAGUGAAGGUAAUGGGGAAAGAAGCACCGGCUAACUACGU